CCUGCUAACAGGCAGACACUGAGAGGUCAACGCAGGCAAAGGAAGGGGUCCUGGCUUCACCUCUGAGGCUAAAACCCUCUGGCGGGCGUGGUCACAACCAGUACAGGAAAUGGAAAGUACCUGGAUGGAGAAUCCACCAGGCAGCUGUGGGGACGAGAGCGGAGCAACCCUACUGCUGCCGGCUAGUCUGUCUAAACCAGAGCUGGAGAAAGGGCUUGGCUGACAGUCAGGCCCACAGUGCCAAGGAGAGCCCAGGUGGAUGGAACCAAGACAAAGGUACAGGAGCACAUGAGACCUGGACUCAAGCAGCGUGGGCCUGUAGGACAGCCAGCGACUGGCAGACAGGAACUUAUUGUAGAGUCCCUGUGUAGUAUUGGAACCAUCAGAAGAAGCCAAGAAACAGAAAUCCUGGGCUACUGGACCAUCAGUGGCAGAAAUAAGACCUCCAGAUUCUAUACCAACAAUCAUCUUAGCAAAUCCACUUCAAGCAAUCAUCCAAGCAAAUCUGUUUCCGUG
Molecule: long non-coding RNA, 516 nt
Filed under: Ictidomys tridecemlineatus (thirteen-lined ground squirrel)
Lineage: Eukaryota; Metazoa; Chordata; Mammalia; Rodentia; Sciuridae
Description: lncRNA (ENSSTOG00000031861.1)
Source: RNAcentral